GCAUUUUGGAAAGAAAUUCUCUAUUAUAAUUCAUUUAUGAUUUAUUUAACUUCACAUAGAAAUUUGCAAUUAAAAUGAUAUACUAUUUAGUAUUCUGUGCUGAAUAGGGCCGUGCGAUGGCAUCGAUUGUCGAUUAUUAAUUGAUGGGUUUUCAUGCUGAUGCAUCAAACCAUCAACAGUUAUAACAAUCGAUGUAUUUCAUUGGUACCAUCGAUGCUGUUUGCUAAUAAUUUAUUAAAUAUUUUAAUUUUGUAACGGCAGUCAUGCCUGAGUCGUUACACUAGAUGUCGUCAUCUCUACUUUCCAAGUGGCACUGGUCAAAACAUGAAAUGACAUGUUUGCUUAUGAGUUAGAAAUAUUCGUUACUUUUUUUCCGUGGAAGUUUGAAAAAGCACUUUUCUGCUAUUAUUUAAGCUCGAAGAAAGAAUAUCCAACUGUAAGGUUAAUCUCAUCAAUAACAUACCGAAUUCUACAGGAUUAGCCAACCAAUAAUAUUUUUAUUGUUUGUUUGUAGUUUGUUUUAUGGCAUUUCAGCAAUCAAAACUUUUGCUUAGAUCUACGAGAACUAGCAGUACUGUUAGUGCUGCAGAUGACAUGGACCCAGAUCAUCAAGAACGCCAAUACCAUAAUUUUUUCGACCUCGACUUUGGUAAUGAUCAGCAUUCUCAGUUAAUACAAUUGCAGGAAUUACCAUGCAGCAACACACAGAAAACAAACAGAAAAAGUGGAUGUGGGUCAGAGGUAUGGGAAUACUUCUCUGGAAAGACUGUGCACUGUGCAUAUUCUGUACAAGUAAAUUAAAGCUUUGUGGAUAUGUAACCAAUUUGCAUCAGCAUCUGCAGAAUGUUCACCACAAGAUAUUUGACAAUAACAGAAAACAUCAAUGUAAUGGUAGGUAUUAGGUAGUAUUUAUAUUGUUAAACAUUCCUUUAUCAUCACAAAUCGUACACCAAAAUUGCAUUAAUUCAAAUUUGAAAAAUCC
This 982-nucleotide long non-coding RNA is filed under the name Androctonus crassicauda. The record is from RNAcentral. Lineage: Eukaryota; Metazoa; Arthropoda; Arachnida; Scorpiones; Buthidae.